AUUGAACGCUGGCGGCAGGCCUAACACAUGCAAGUCGAGCGGAUGAAGGGGGCUUGCUCCUGGAUUCAGCGGCGGACGGGUGAGUAAUGCCUAGGAAUCUGCCUGGUAGUGGGGGAUAACGUCCGGAAACGGGCGCUAAUACCGCAUACGUCCUGAGGGAGAAAGUGGGGGAUCUUCGGACCUCACGCUAUCAGAUGAGCCUAGGUCGGAUUAGCUAGUUGGUGGGGUAAAGGCCUACCAAGGCGACGAUCCGUAACUGGUCUGAGAGGAUGAUCAGUCACACUGGAACUGAGACACGGUCCAGACUCCUACGGGAGGCAGCAGUGGGGAAUAUUGGACAAUGGGCGAAAGCCUGAUCCAGCCAUGCCGCGUGUGUGAAGAAGGUCUUCGGAUUGUAAAGCACUUUAAGUUGGGAGGAAGGGAAGUAAGUUAAUACCUUGCUGUUUUGACGUUACCAACAGAAUAAGCACCGGCUAACUUCGUG
RNAcentral lists this ribosomal RNA (484 nucleotides) under uncultured bacterium. RNAcentral's name for it is "partial 16S ribosomal RNA". It matches the Rfam family "Bacterial small subunit ribosomal RNA", at positions 30 to 507 of the family's 1533-position model. The record is from RNAcentral.